UACCUCGGUUGGUUCAAGUGGUAAUUUGAGUUUCUGCAGUUUUUCUGUCAAGUUAAAAAACAAAAAACAUUUUGUUCUAAAAUUUUGCCUCAAUAAGGACUUUAGUCCAGACAACUUCCCUUUAUUCCAAAAGCAGCUCCAUUCUGAUCACUCUGAUGAUUGAAACAUGUUUCCAUAUUUCCAAAAAGACUCUAAACAACAGAUGUUGACUGCAGCGUAAACAACAGAUGGCAGAGUUCACAUGAAGUCCAUAGCUGAGAAAGAGAAUCCACACUCCAGCUGAGGAAAGUGAGGCCAAACCUAAAGUGUUUAUGUUACCAGUUGUCCUCAGGUUAACGUCGUCUGGUCUCGCUCUAUGAGUUCUCACCUUCAAAUUAAAUUCAGCUUAGCUAACGGAGAACAAACCAGGCGUUUCUUCUGCGCCCGAUCAGGUAUGUGGCGCUCCUGAAACUCAAUACUCUUUGUAUGAUUUGAGUGAGUUAUAUCUUAUAAAAGUGGAGUUUAGUAGAGCAACAAAUGGAAGACCUUGUAUGACCUCUUUAUUAAUGACAGCCCUGUAAAGAAAAAGAUCUCGAAUGCAUUUUUUCACCUUCACCAAUCUGUGGUGUCAGAGGAAAAAAAAUAUUUGAUGAAAGGAAUAUGUUGGUCUCUAGUUUCAAGAGGAGAUGGACAAAAAAUGUAUUUUUCAGUCUGAAGAAUUGAAAAUCAAAUCCAGGAUAAUCUGAAAGCUGCCAACACCCUGACACUUUUUCUAUUUUAGAGAUUAUACAUUUAAAGAAAUGGGUUUGGAGGAGGGUCUGCAUCCCUGUGAUCCAUUAUCUUCUCCUCGCCGCUCCUGCUCUCUUUUGUCUCUCAAGCAGUCACUCUUACUAUGUUAAGACAAAGCACAACGAGGGCUAAUCGCACAGGAAAAACACGCGGAAUUCCUCCCACGCUGGACCGGUCACAUGGUCAUCGGGAGUGUCCCUGCUCUGCAGAGGAACGAGCCACCCAGAUGCAGAACGCAACAAUGGCGUUUAAAGGUACCCCCCCACUGCUCAGCUGCCAGUAUAAAGCACCUUUUCAUUAAGCACUUAUUGUUUAAGCCUUUAGAGGUGGAGAUAUAUGUGCAACACAGAAGGAAAUGCUUGAAAACAAUGGAGGUGAAGCAAAAGAAGUCUGAUCAAUGUUUUUUCAUAUGACCAAAAUAUAU
This is a long non-coding RNA of Oryzias melastigma (Indian medaka), 1192 nucleotides long. RefSeq lists it as uncharacterized. The transcript has 3 exons. The record is from RefSeq and is a predicted model, not a curated record. NCBI's taxonomy places the organism in Eukaryota, Metazoa, Chordata, Actinopteri, Beloniformes, Adrianichthyidae.